RNAcentral lists this unclassified non-coding RNA (289 nucleotides) under plant metagenome. RNAcentral's name for it is "partial contains small subunit ribosomal RNA, internal transcribed spacer 1, and 5.8S ribosomal RNA". The stretch from base 241 to 289 matches the Rfam family "5.8S ribosomal RNA", at positions 1 to 49 of the family's 154-position model. The record is from RNAcentral.
UUUCCGUAGGUGAACCUGCGGAAGGAUCAUUAAUGAGUUGUCAUGGGGUUCGAUGCUGGCAGCCAAUUUUUGGAUGCAUGUGCUUGCCCUAACAAUCAUCUUCCAAACACCUGUGCACAUUUUUGAGGGAGUCUUGAGUUGGUUGCCGCUCUUGGGUGAUUUUCUCACAUUCCCUUAAAUCAUUAUACGCUAUUAACAAUGUUGAACGUGCUCUGUGCCGCAAGGCUAUUAAUAUAAUACAACUUUUAACAACGGAUCUCUUGGCUCUCGCAUCGAUGAAGGACGCAGC